GACGUACGCUGGCGGCGUGCUUAACACAUGCAAGUCGAACGGAAAGGCCCUGCUUUUGUGGGGUGCUCGAGUGGCGAACGGGUGAGUAACACGUGAGUAACCUGCCCUUGACUUUGGGAUAACUUCAGGAAACUGGGGCUAAUACCGGAUAGGAGCUCCUGCUGCAUGGUGGGGGUUGGAAAGUUUCGGCGGUUGGGGAUGGACUCGCGGCUUAUCAGCUUGUUGGUGGGGUAGUGGCUUACCAAGGCUUUGACGGGUAGCCGGCCUGAGAGGGUGACCGGCCACAUUGGGACUGAGAUGCGGCCCAGACUCCUACGGGAGGCAGCAGUGGGGAAUAUUGCACAAUGGGCGGAAGCCUGAUGCAGCAACGCCGCGUGCGGGAUGACGGCCUUCGGGUUGUAAACCGCUUUCGCCUGUGACGAAGCGUGAGUGACGGUAAUGGGUAAAGAAGCACCGGCUAACUACGUG
This 468-nucleotide ribosomal RNA is filed under the name uncultured bacterium. RNAcentral's name for it is "partial 16S ribosomal RNA". It matches the Rfam family "Bacterial small subunit ribosomal RNA", at positions 28 to 507 of the family's 1533-position model. The record is from RNAcentral.